This 208-nucleotide ribosomal RNA is filed under the name uncultured bacterium. RNAcentral's name for it is "partial 16S ribosomal RNA". It matches the Rfam family "Bacterial small subunit ribosomal RNA", at positions 568 to 774 of the family's 1533-position model. The record is from RNAcentral.
AGCGCAGACGGUUAUUUAAGCAAGAUGUGAAAGCCCCGGGCUCAACCUGGGAACUGCGUUUUGAACUGGGUAACUAGAGUGUGUCAGAGGGGGGUAGAAUUCCACGUGUAGCAGUGAAAUGCGUAGAGAUGUGGAGGAAUACCGAUGGCGAAGGCAGCCCCCUCGGGAUAACACUGACGUUCAUGCUCGAAAGCGUGGGUAGCAAACA